RNAcentral lists this transfer RNA (75 nucleotides) under Lachnospiraceae bacterium. RNAcentral describes it as "tRNA-Glu". It matches the Rfam family "tRNA". Rfam says of the family: Transfer RNA (tRNA) molecules are approximately 80 nucleotides in length. The record is from RNAcentral. Lineage: Bacteria; Bacillati; Bacillota; Clostridia; Lachnospirales; Lachnospiraceae.
GGCUCGUUGGUCAAGAGGUUAAGACGCCGCCCUCUCAAGGCGGAAUCACGAGUUCGAUUCUCGUACGAGCUGCUA